GGAAAGUCGGCGUUGGACAGGUUCCUCGCGAACCCGGUCAGAUCCGGAAGGAAGCAGCCGCAACGAGAUUUUGCCUGGGUCAGUGUCCGGCUUUCCACC
Molecule: signal recognition particle RNA, 99 nt
Filed under: Rhodospirillales bacterium
Lineage: Bacteria; Pseudomonadati; Pseudomonadota; Alphaproteobacteria; Rhodospirillales
Description: signal recognition particle sRNA small type
Rfam family: Bacterial small signal recognition particle RNA
About the family: The signal recognition particle (SRP) is a universally conserved ribonucleoprotein involved in the co-translational targeting of proteins to membranes. Archaeal SRP consists of a 7S RNA and homologues of the eukaryotic SRP19 and SRP54 proteins. In most bacteria, the SRP consists of a 4.5S RNA and the Ffh protein (a homologue of the eukaryotic SRP54 protein).
Source: RNAcentral